Molecule: ribosomal RNA, 790 nt
Filed under: uncultured bacterium
Lineage: Bacteria
Description: bacterial SSU rRNA
Rfam family: Bacterial small subunit ribosomal RNA
Source: RNAcentral
GUCGAGCGAGCGGAACCACAGAUUUACUUCGGUAAUGACGUUGGGAAAGCGAGCGGCGGAUGGGUGAGUAACACGUGGGGAACCUGCCCCUAAGUCUGGGAUACCAUUUGGAAACAGGUGCUAAUACCGGAUAAUAAAGCAGAUCGCAUGAUCAGCUUUUGAAAGGCGGCGUAAGCUGUCGCUAAGGGAUGGCCCCGCGGUGCAUUAGCUAGUUGGUAAGGUAACGGCUUACCAAGGCGACGAUGCAUAGCCGAGUUGAGAGACUGAUCGGCCACAUUGGGACUGAGACACGGCCCAAACUCCUACGGGAGGCAGCAGUAGGGAAUCUUCCACAAUGGACGCAAGUCUGAUGGAGCAACGCCGCGUGAGUGAAGAAGGUUUUCGGAUCGUAAAGCUCUGUUGUUGGUGAAGAAGGAUAGAGGUAGUAACUGGCCUUUAUUUGACGGUAAUCAACCAGAAAGUCACGGCUGACUACGUGCCAGCAGCCGCGGUAAUACGUAGGUGGCAAGCGUUGUCCGGAUUUAUUGGGCGUAAAGCGAGCGCAGGCGGAAAAAUAAGUCUAAUGUGAAAGCCCUCGGCUUAACCGAGGAACUGCAUCGGAAACUGUUUUUCUUGAGUGCAGAAGAGGAGAGUGGAACUCCAUGUGUAGCGGUGGAAUGCGUAGAUAUAUGGAAGAACACCAGUGGCGAAGGCGGCUCUCUGGUCUGCAACUGACGCUGAGGCUCGAAAGCAUGGGUAGCGAACAGGAUUAGAUACCCUGGUAGUCCAUGCCGUAAACGAUGAGUGCUAA